UUAACUGCGAAGUUAGGUCCGGAGGAAGCCGCUAGCAAAACUGCGAGCUGAUGAACAAGAACAUCAUAUGAGGCGUAGGCUGGAGGCGAGUUGGCACAAGACGACGAAGCCAUGUGAUCUAACGGCCACCGUAAAUGAUGCAGUUGCGCAGGGAAAGUUCAUAUU
Non-coding RNA from Oleispira antarctica, 165 nucleotides. NCBI's taxonomy places the organism in Bacteria, Pseudomonadati, Pseudomonadota, Gammaproteobacteria, Oceanospirillales, Oceanospirillaceae. The record is from Rfam.